UACAGAGGGGGCCAGCGUUAUUCGGAAUUAUUGGGCGUAAAGGGCGCGUAGGCGGCCAUGCGUGUCUUCCGUGAAAUCCCUCGGCUCAACCGAGGACGUGCGGAAGAAACUGCAAGGCUCGAGUCCGGAAGAGGGGGGCGGAAUUCCCAGUGUAGCGGUGAAGUGCGUAGAUAUUGGGAGGAACACCAGUGGCGAAGGCGGUCCCCUGGGCCGGAACUGACGCUGAGGCGCGAAAGCGUGGGUAGCAAACGGG
RNAcentral lists this ribosomal RNA (253 nucleotides) under uncultured bacterium. Its description in RNAcentral is "partial 16S ribosomal RNA". It matches the Rfam family "Bacterial small subunit ribosomal RNA", at positions 524 to 776 of the family's 1533-position model. The record is from RNAcentral.